Long non-coding RNA from Rosa rugosa (rugosa rose), 2572 nucleotides. RefSeq lists it as uncharacterized. The record is from RefSeq and is a predicted model, not a curated record. The transcript is spliced from 2 exons. Lineage: Eukaryota; Viridiplantae; Streptophyta; Magnoliopsida; Rosales; Rosaceae.
UUUCCCUACAUUUCCUGCGUUAUUUCCUUAAUAAAACUCUGUUUAGGAAAGUUUCCAUUCUUUGAUUGGGAAAGUUCCUAAUUGUAGAAAGUUUCCGUUUUGUAGUUUCUAUUUUCCAUUUUUAGAAAGUUUCCAUUUUAGUUUAGGAAAGUUUCCAUUUCUUAUUUUAGAAAGCUUCUAUUUUCAGGUCUUUGGAAUAAAUAAGCUGAAUUGAGUUCAUAAAUGGAAAGAGAAGCUUCAUGAAGAUGACAUGGCAAGGAAAUGACGUGGAAAAUCAGAAAAUAUAAUGCCAAGAGGAAAUCAAGGAAGAGUUUUUAAAAAGGAAAAUAUAUUUUCCUUGGGGAUUAAAUUUGCCGUGUAAUACUUAAGGAAAAACAAGGUGACAACAUGGGAAUUAAAGAUGAUUGAUUGAGGAUUUCAAGGAGAGAUUUUCUUGGGAGACUUUUAUGGGAAGGAAAUAUUGUUGGAGGAAUAAUUUGGUGUGAUUGCCAACGUGAAAAUCAGAAAUAAUCAAGGAGAUGAUGCCAAGAGAGAUUCAAGGGAGAAAUAAAAGGAAAGAGAAAAAGGUGGAGACCAAGAAAAGCUGAAAACGUGUCUAGGUGCAUCCCUAAAUUCCCUAAAGGAAUAUUAGCCGAAAUUCAUGAAGAAAAUCAGAAUAAUUUCAAGGAAAUUCGGCAAUUAAAUAUUAGGGAGGUAUUUUAGAGAAUUUUGAUUGGUUGGAACACAUCACACGGAUUACUUGGCAUUCUAUGAUUGGUUGGACUACAUCACAAAGCUUACUUGGCGAAUUCUCAUUGGUGGAAGCUAUGUGGAAAUUUGUGAUUGCUUUGUGAACCCUAGCCGUGCUCCUAUAUAUACCCACCUCUUUGACGUUGAAAAGGGUUCCACAUCCCUUAGAAAAAUUCAGAAAAAUUAUAUUGUUGCCGUGAGCUUCUUCCAUUUUCUCUCCAUCCUCUAAAGCAAGCCACGGAGUUCAAGCAAGGCCGAAGGGAGAAGAAGAAGCCGUGACUAUUCCUCCACCAUCCACCAUUGAAGACUUGCUUUCAAGCUUCAAGGAUCACAACGAAAAUCAUUCAUCCUCAUCUUCCAUCCACGGUGUGUACCCUCAAUCCCCGGAAUAGAACGAUCCCUAUUUGCUUAUACUACUAACGAUCUUUUCAGGGUUAAAUUAUGCGCUUGCUUUGAGCGUAUCAGAAAGUCCGCCGAGGAGCGAUGAAAAAAAUGGAGAAUUGGUUGUUGGUCUCGGUGAGGCUGAGGUACCAGUAUGAGCUAGAAAGAGCCGAAGAGGAAUAAAAAUGAUCAAGUGAGUUUGGGAAUUGGGAUUGGAAUUGCAAGGAAAACAAGUUGAGACAGAACAAGGAGGAAGAAAAGGGUGAGCUCCUCACAGUCCUUGCUUCGAGAGACGAAGAGGAGCAGGAGGUUGGUGGAAUCUGGAAUGGGAGGAAUGGAGGAUGAGUUUGAGCUGUUUAAUUAAAGAAGAAAGUGGGUUUGUGUGGCAGAGAAAAAAGAAAGAGUUGUACGUGUGGAUGGGGGACAUAUAUCAUGAGGAGGUAGGUUUUAGAGAAAUCAUAGCACAUGGCACAUAUGGAUGGGGUGAGUACGCAAGGUAAAGAAAUCGUAGCAGCACAUGGGCACAUCAGAGGUGGUUUCCCACUUAAAAACUGAUACCGGAAAUUCAAAGAAGAAUUAUACAAAUAACACCACCUCGGUGGCUCGGUGGCAUAUAGGAACCGAAACCGAACACAAAAAAAACCGAAUCGAAUAAAAACAACUAAAUAAAAAGAGAAAACCGAUCAAUUUGGAUCGGUUUGGACCGGUUCCUCGGUUUUUCGGGUCUAAAAUCCCAGCCUGUCUGGACCCGAAACCACUGUCUUUUCCGUUGGCCUUUUCUGCCCAUACGGCCCAAUUCCAAAUCUAAUCAAACGUCUACGUGAAAAUUCCAAAUCGAGGAAUUUUAUAAAAAAAAUGGUGUCAAAUCUUGUCGCUCCGAAUUUGAACUCGUCAGAAAACAUGAGUUUUGAGCUUGAUCCAAAAUUGUGUGGAGCAUCGAUACAUAAGCCAGUGAAAAGUCAAGAAAAGCUCUUCAAGAACGAUACUCAGCAACUGCCUAGCGGGAAGAGCAGGACGGAUACAACUAUAUAACUUUCUAUCCCCCCUGUUGUAUAGGGAUGGAAACUGUGUAAUCUGGUAUAGGGAAUUCACUCCCUGGCAGAAGCUGCAUGUAGUAGUCAUACCGGUCCAUGCCGUUUCCUUUUGCUCACUUUCGAUGGAGGAGCGUGUCUCAAUCAGUGAUGCCAUGAUUGUUUGUGAGCUCAAAGGAAGUGGCAUAGUGAACUGUCAUGCUUUCUGUUGCAGCCACAAUCGACUAAUCUAGACAGACUACUACAAGAUGGUCUACCCCCAUCAUAUCCUUUGUGUUAUACUAUUAAUAAGAAUAAUAGAAAUAAAAAUAUAAAAAAUAAAACAAAAAAAUAUAACUCUCAGAACAAGCCGUGCAAGGGAAAUCUGUAUAACAUCUUUAUUGUAAUUGAAAUUGCAGAUGAACUUAAAACAAACACAAGUUGUUUCCAUA